AUUAAUUAAAACUUGGAAGUGGAUAUUCGUCCGACAUUUCCAUAUCGUUAAAGUCGUUAAAAAUAAAACAGCGUAAAUUUAAUUGAAUUUCAAGCGAAUCCUUCGUAGUGUAGUGGUUUAGGCACCCGUAUUGUGUGCGCCAAGUUCUGGGAUCGAUUCCUGCUCGCGCCACUAUUUUUUUUUUCUUCGUGAUUUUCGCUUACGCACCGCGUACGAAACGUAUAGCGUAUCGAAUAUGUUGUUGCUUCGUUCUUAAGAAACAACGCAACCCUUUUAGUGGUUUAGUGUUAGCUUUUAAAGCGUUGUCGGAUGAAUAGCC
This is a non-coding RNA of Paramuricea clavata, 319 nucleotides long. Lineage: Eukaryota; Metazoa; Cnidaria; Anthozoa; Malacalcyonacea; Plexauridae. The record is from the annotation of a GenBank genome assembly.